AAUCUCAACACAGCAGUGUCCCUGGAAGUCCCACUCUAAGCCCCACCCAAAGUGCAGGGCACAGACAGGGAUGCUUCAGGGAUGACCCCCUCCAAGCGCUGCAUGGUGCCUCCUUAAGGCUGGCUAUGUCCCAUGGUCCUUCUCAGCCCAGGCCACUCUAUGAUUCUGUGAUCACAAGACUGGCUUGGAUUCACCCUAAAACUCCCCAGCACAGAGCACAUAAGAACUGCUGUGGCACUGUGGAAUGAAGGGUGAAGAACAAGAUGGCACGAAACACAUCAAGAAGGAUGCUGGCAGUGAGAAACCAGAGACAUCUGCUGCACUCACAUAUGCCUCACUGACUGAAAUCAAGCAAAAGCUGACAGACCUCAUCAGCGCUGAUGGGUUUGUUUUGCUGGUACUGCUCAGCUGGUUGUUGGGGCAAGGGAUUUAGCUGCAAAGCAAGAAGAGUCCCCGCAGCAGCCUGCUUAUGAUGGUAUUAAUAUGCAUAUUAAUUGCCCUCACACUGCUUGAGUGACAGAGCUAUACAAAGCAGCACAGACUCACAAUGUUUAAAACACGCACUGAAAAUUUGCAGCUCAAAACCAUUAAGAAGCAAUAGCAUCUAUUUCAGAAGUCAUUUUAACUUUCUUAAGGUAUAGAACCAUUUCUUGUCCUACAACUUCUCCCACUGAGCUCUUUAUUUCUGUGAUUCCAGUACAGUAUAUCGCAAUUAUCGCCAAUCUUCUGCCAGUUACAGAAUCAUUAAGGUUGGAAAAGAUCACUAAGAUCACCUGGUCUAACUGUCAGUGAGCAGCCUUUCCAUAAUGAGGCAAAAAGGAGGAAGGAAAAUCUACAGAAAUUAAUUCAUCAAAUCAAAAAUGCCCACCUAACUGGAUUCUGAAUUCAUCUGUUAUUCUGUACAGCUUAAAUAAGUGCGAUGGUAAAACUGCAAGAGGGAAGAUGUGGAUACACAGCUCAUCAGGAUGACUGUGACCGACCAAUGGAAACACAUUGGCAGCACAUUUGUUGUCCUCCACACUACCACCUCCUUGACCAACCCCAGGAGCAGUUGCUAUCUCUUGUGGGCAAAUAAUCCGUGCUGUAGUUUUCAUAGGACAGAUUAAUGGUUAACACUGGACCAUAAGGUGAAGGAAAUGAAUUCUCCUUCAAGUCCUG
This 1158-nucleotide long non-coding RNA is filed under the name Gallus gallus (chicken). RNAcentral's name for it is "long non-coding RNA NONGGAT007261". Lineage: Eukaryota; Metazoa; Chordata; Aves; Galliformes; Phasianidae. The record is from RNAcentral.